RNAcentral lists this ribosomal RNA (400 nucleotides) under uncultured bacterium. RNAcentral describes it as "bacterial SSU rRNA". It matches the Rfam family "Bacterial small subunit ribosomal RNA", at positions 355 to 747 of the family's 1533-position model. The record is from RNAcentral.
UGGGGAAUCUUGGACAAUGGGGGCAACCCUGAUCCAGCCAUGCCGCGUGAGUGAAGAAGGCCUUCGGGUUGUAAAGCUCUUUCGGACGGGAAGAAAUCGCGCUCACUAAUACUGGGUGCGGAUGACGGUACCGUAAGAAGAAGCACCGGCUAACUACGUGCCAGCAGCCGCGGUAAUACGUAGGGUGCGAGCGUUAAUCGGAAUUACUGGGCGUAAAGCGUGCGCAGGCGGAUGGAUAAGACAGAUGUGAAAUCCCCGGGCUUAACCUGGGAAUGGCGUUUGUGACUGUUCAUCUCGAGUACGGCAGAGGGAGGCGGAAUUCCACGUGUAGCAGUGAAAUGCGUAGAGAUGUGGAGGAACACCGAUGGCGAAGGCAGCCUCCUGGGCCGAUACUGACGCU